AGUUUGAUCCUGGCUCAGAACGAACGCUGGCGGCAGGCUUAACACAUGCAAGUCGAGCGCCCCGCAAGGGGAGCGGCAGACGGGUGAGUAACGCGUGGGAAUCUACCUAGCUCUACGGAAUAACCCAGGGAAACUUGGACUAAUACCGUAUACGUCCUUCGGGAGAAAGAUUUAUCGGAGUUGGAUGAGCCCGCGUUGGAUUAGCUAGUUGGUGGGGUAAUGGCCUACCAAGGCGACGAUCCAUAGCUGGUCUGAGAGGAUGAUCAGCCACACUGGGACUGAGACACGGCCCAGACUCUACGGGAGGCAGCAGUGGGGAAUAUUGGACAAUGGGCGAAAGCCUGAUCCAGCCAUGCCGCGUGAGUGAUGAAGGCCCUAGGGUUGUAAAGCUCUUUCAACGGUGAAGAUAAUGACGGUAACCGUAGAAGAAGCCCCGGCUAACUUCGUGCCAGCAGCCGCGGUAAUACGAAGGGGGCUAGCGUUGUUCGGAAUUACUGGGCGUAAAGCGCACGUAGGCGGACUAUUAAGUCAGGGGUGAAAUCCCGGGGCUCAACCCCGGAACUGCCUUUGAUACUGGUAGUCUAGAGUCCGAGAGAGGUGAGUGGAAUUCCGAGUGUAGAGGUGAAAUUCGUAGAUAUUCGGAGGAACACCAGUGGCGAAGGCGGCUCACUGGCUCGGUACUGACGCU
This 688-nucleotide ribosomal RNA is filed under the name Mesorhizobium sp. GWS-AG-H110. Its description in RNAcentral is "bacterial SSU rRNA". It matches the Rfam family "Bacterial small subunit ribosomal RNA", at positions 10 to 747 of the family's 1533-position model. Lineage: Bacteria; Pseudomonadati; Pseudomonadota; Alphaproteobacteria; Hyphomicrobiales; Phyllobacteriaceae. The record is from RNAcentral.